UGAGACUGGGGCCUCGCUCGCUCCCGACCCGGUUGCAAGUGUUGCGGUGGGAGAAAGUCGCGUCCGCAUCGGAGGGGAAGCGCCGUCAUGCCUAAGAAGGAAAAUCACCUCGGCAGUGUUUGAAGGAAGGAUACUGCAACUCUUUGAAGUACGCAUUUUUUGAGUGUAAAAGAUCAGUGUUGGAUAACAGGGCAAGAUUCAGAGGAAGAAAAGGAUAUUGAUGCAUUAUGUUGAAGCCAACAUGGAAAACAACAAAUAUUUUCCCUGGUCAUUAACACAAAGAAGCCAAAACAGGAAACAUACUUUUUACUACAUCUGUUUGGUUGGACCAGAUUUCCCCUCCGUGGAACACUGAAGAAAGUGGAUGAGUUGUUUUCGAAUAUGUAUAAAGUAAAUGAUUCUCUUGAUCCAAGUUAUUUUUAGAAGAAAAACCUAAUUGAACAGGUAUGGGUUG
This 454-nucleotide long non-coding RNA is filed under the name Homo sapiens (human). RNAcentral describes it as "HSALNT0036249". Lineage: Eukaryota; Metazoa; Chordata; Mammalia; Primates; Hominidae. The record is from RNAcentral.